RNAcentral lists this transfer RNA (70 nucleotides) under Candidatus Bacteroides pullicola. Its description in RNAcentral is "tRNA-OTHER". The record is from RNAcentral. Lineage: Bacteria; Pseudomonadati; Bacteroidota; Bacteroidia; Bacteroidales; Bacteroidaceae.
AGCCCCGCUCGUCCACAGGCAGGACACCGCCGCACGGCGGAAAAUGGCGGUUCGAUUCCGCCCGGGGCUG